AGAGUUUGAUCCUGGCUCAGGAUGAACGCUAGCUACAGGCUUAACACAUGCAAGUCGAGGGGAAACGACAUCGAAAGCUUGCUUUUGAUGGGCGUCGACCGGCGCACGGGUGAGUAACGCGUAUCCAACCUGCCCACCACUUGGGGAUAACCUUGCGAAAGUAAGACUAAUACCCAAUGACGUCUCUAGAAGACAUCUGAAAGAGAUUAAAGAUUUAUCGGUGAUGGAUGGGGAUGCGUCUGAUUAGCUUGGUUGGGCGGGGUAACGGCCACCAAGGCUACGAUCAGGUAGGGGUUCUGAGAGGAAGGUCCCCCANAUUGGAACUGAGACACGGUCCAAACUCCUACGGGAGCA
Molecule: ribosomal RNA, 354 nt
Filed under: uncultured bacterium
Lineage: Bacteria
Description: bacterial SSU rRNA
Rfam family: Bacterial small subunit ribosomal RNA
Source: RNAcentral